GUUCGUGCUGAUGGAGUGAUUACCCUCCCAGAGCCUCCUGCCACCGCAGAUUGUCAGGGGGAGGAUGAUGAAGACACAGUGUCUGUAACCACUGCUGUGGGGGCUGAUGGGCCUUCAGAGCUCCCUGUGAAGGAUCUGUACAGGGUUCACCUGCAAAGACACAUACCCAGAUGUGACCUCCAAAUGGACCAUAUCAGACUGAAAAUG
Molecule: long non-coding RNA, 207 nt
Organism: Epinephelus moara (kelp grouper)
Lineage: Eukaryota; Metazoa; Chordata; Actinopteri; Perciformes; Serranidae
Exons: 3
Source: RefSeq, a predicted model, not a curated record